GAAAUGCGAUAAGUAAUGUGAAUUGCAGAAUUCAGUGAAUCAUCGAAUCUUUGAACGCACAUUGCGCCCGCCAGUAUUCUGGCGGGCAUGCCUGUCCGAGCGUCAUUUCAACCAUCAAGCCCCCGGGCUUGUGUUGGGGACCUGCGGCUGCCCGCAGGCCCUGAAAACCAGUGGCGGGCUCGCUGUCACACCGAGCGUAGUAGCAAUCACCUCGCUCAGGGCGUGCUGCGGGUUCCGGCCGUUAAACAGCCUUACAAAACCCAAGGUUGACCUCGGAUCAGGUAGGAAGAUCCGCUGAACUUAAGC
This 306-nucleotide unclassified non-coding RNA is filed under the name plant metagenome. Its description in RNAcentral is "partial contains 5.8S ribosomal RNA, internal transcribed spacer 2, and large subunit ribosomal RNA". The stretch from base 1 to 105 matches the Rfam family "5.8S ribosomal RNA", at positions 50 to 154 of the family's 154-position model. The record is from RNAcentral.